This 471-nucleotide ribosomal RNA is filed under the name uncultured bacterium. RNAcentral describes it as "partial 16S ribosomal RNA". It matches the Rfam family "Bacterial small subunit ribosomal RNA", at positions 28 to 507 of the family's 1533-position model. The record is from RNAcentral.
GACGAACGCUGGCGGCGUGCUUAACACAUGCAAGUCGAACGAUGAAGCCUAGCUUGCUAGGUGGACUAGUGGCGAACGGGUGAGUAAUACGUGAGUAACCUACCUUUAACUCUGGGAUAAGCCCGGGAAACUGGGUCUAAUACCGGAUACGACCAAUCUCCGCAUGGGGUGUUGGUGGAAAGCGUUAUGUAGUGGUUAUAGAUGGGCUCACGGCCUAUCAGCUUGUUGGUGAGGUAACGGCUCACCAAGGCGACGACGGGUAGCCGGCCUGAGAGGGUGACCGGCCACACUGGGACUGAGACACGGCCCAGACUCCUACGGGAGGCAGCAGUGGGGAAUAUUGCACAAUGGGCGCAAGCCUGAUGCAGCGACGCCGCGUGAGGGAUGACGGCCUUCGGGUUGUAAACCUCUGUUAGCAGGGAAGAAGAGAGAUUGACGGUACCUGCAGAGAAAGCGCCGGCUAACUACGUG